RNAcentral lists this ribosomal RNA (572 nucleotides) under uncultured bacterium. Its description in RNAcentral is "bacterial SSU rRNA". It matches the Rfam family "Bacterial small subunit ribosomal RNA", at positions 39 to 616 of the family's 1533-position model. The record is from RNAcentral.
GCGGCACGCCUAACACAUGCAAGUCGAGCGAGAAAGUGACUUCGGUCGCGAGUAAAGCGGCGAACGGGUGAGUACAACGUGGAUAAUCUACCCUAGGGUCUGGGACAACCCCGAGAAAUCGGAGCUAAUACCGGAUAAGACCACAGUAUCCAAGGAUACAGUGGUAAAAGAUUUAUCGCCUUUGGAUGAGUCCACGUCCCAUCAGGUAGUUGGUAAGGUAAAAGCUUACCAAGCCUAAGACGGGUAGCCGGCCUUAGCGGGUGAACGGCCACAUGGGGACUGAGACACGGCCCUGACUCCUACGGGAGGCAGCAGUGGGGAAUAUUGGGCAAUGGGCGAAAGCCUGACCCAGCGAUGCCGCGUGAGGGAUGAAGGCCUUCGGGUUGUAAACCUCUGUCAGGAGGGACGAUGGGACACUUGUGUCUUGACGGUACCUCCAGAGGAAGCCCCGGCUAACUCCGUGCCAGCAGCCGCGGUAAUACGGAGGGGGCAAGCGUUGCUCGGAAUUACUGGGCGUAAAGGGUCCGCAGGCUGUCAGGCAAGUUGGUUGUGAAAGCUCAAGGCUUAACCUU